This 207-nucleotide ribosomal RNA is filed under the name uncultured bacterium. RNAcentral's name for it is "partial 16S ribosomal RNA". It matches the Rfam family "Bacterial small subunit ribosomal RNA", at positions 568 to 774 of the family's 1533-position model. The record is from RNAcentral.
UGCGUAGGUGGCAGGGUAAGUCGGAUGUGAAAUCUCCGAGCUCAACUCGGAAAUGGCAUUGGAAACUACCCAGCUCGAGGGUUGGAGGGGGGACUGGAAUGCUUGGUGUAGCAGUGAAAUGCGUAGAUAUCAAGCGGAACACCAGUGGCGAAGGCGAGUCCCUGGACAACUCCUGACACUGAGGCACGAAAGCUAGGGAGGCAAACA